CUACGGAGGGCGCAAGCGUUAAUCGGAAUUACUGGGCGUAAAGCGUACGUAGGCGGUGAGUUAAGUUAGAUGUGAAAGCCCCGGGCUCAACCUGGGAACUGCAUUUAAAACUGGCUCACUAGAGUUGAGUAGAGGGGAGUGGAAUUUCAGGUGUAGCGGUGAAAUGCGUAGAGAUCUGAAGGAACACCAGUGGCGAAGGCGACUCCCUGGACUCGAACUGACGCUGAGGUACGAAAGCGUGGGUAGCAAACGGGAUUAGAUACCCUAGUAGUCC
This 274-nucleotide ribosomal RNA is filed under the name uncultured bacterium. RNAcentral describes it as "partial 16S ribosomal RNA". It matches the Rfam family "Bacterial small subunit ribosomal RNA", at positions 523 to 796 of the family's 1533-position model. The record is from RNAcentral.